Molecule: non-coding RNA, 136 nt
Organism: Jaculus jaculus (lesser Egyptian jerboa)
Lineage: Eukaryota; Metazoa; Chordata; Mammalia; Rodentia; Dipodidae
Product: small Cajal body-specific RNA 11
Exons: 1
Source: RefSeq, a predicted model, not a curated record
CUUUCCUGCUUAACGUGUACAAUUCUUUUUUUUUCCCCAUGUGUGCAGUUCUAACAGGAAUCACAGUAGUCUCCCUCACAGUUUAGGAGCACUGUUCUAAGAAUAGGGCUGGUUCUAACAGGCAUGAGAGGAGAGA